AAGUAGUUUAAGUUGUGUGCAAGUGGUAGGAGAGCGUUCUAUUUGCGUCGAAGGUAUACCGGUAAGGAGUGCUGGAGCGAAUAGAAGUGAGCAUGCAGGCAUGAGUAGCGAUAAUUAAUGUGAGAAUCAUUAACGCCGUAAACCCAAGGUUUCCUACGCGAUGCUCGUCAUCGUAGGGUUAGUCGGGUCCUAAGUCGAGUCCGAAAGGGGUAGACGAUGGCAAAUUGGUUAAUAUUCCAAUACCAACAUUAGUGUGCGAUGGAAGGACGCUUAGGGCUAAGGGGGCUAGCGGAUGGAAGUGCUAGUCUAAGGUCGUAGGAGGUUAUACAGGCAAAUCCGUAUAACAAUACUCCGAGAACUGAAAGGCUUUUUGAAGUCUUCGGAUGGAUAGAAGAACCCCUGAUGCCGUCGAGCCAAGAAAAGUUUCUAAGUUUAGCUAAUGUUGCCCGUACCGUAAACCGACACAGGUGGGUGGGAUGAGUAUUCUAAGGCGCGUGGAAGAACUCUCUUUAAGGAACUCUGCAAAAUAGCACCGUAUCUUCGGUAUAAGGUGUGGUUAGCUUCGUACUAGGAUUUACUCCGAAAGCGAAGAAACUUACAACAAAGAGUCCCUCCCGACUGUUUACCAAAAACACAGCAC
RNAcentral lists this ribosomal RNA (640 nucleotides) under Salmonella enterica subsp. enterica serovar Montevideo. RNAcentral's name for it is "partial 23S ribosomal RNA". It matches the Rfam family "Bacterial large subunit ribosomal RNA", at positions 1197 to 1821 of the family's 2925-position model. The record is from RNAcentral. Lineage: Bacteria; Pseudomonadati; Pseudomonadota; Gammaproteobacteria; Enterobacterales; Enterobacteriaceae.